This 25-nucleotide non-coding RNA is filed under the name Cricetulus griseus (Chinese hamster). The record is from RNAcentral. Lineage: Eukaryota; Metazoa; Chordata; Mammalia; Rodentia; Cricetidae.
AUGGCUCAGAGGUUAAGAGCAGUGG